RNAcentral lists this microRNA (23 nucleotides) under Cavia porcellus (domestic guinea pig). RNAcentral's name for it is "cpo-miR-2387-3p". The record is from miRBase by way of RNAcentral. Lineage: Eukaryota; Metazoa; Chordata; Mammalia; Rodentia; Caviidae.
CCUGCAGACCUGGCCUUAGCAAA